Molecule: ribosomal RNA, 253 nt
Filed under: uncultured bacterium
Lineage: Bacteria
Description: partial 16S ribosomal RNA
Rfam family: Bacterial small subunit ribosomal RNA
Source: RNAcentral
UACAGAGGGUGCUAGCGUUAAUCGGAAUUACUGGGCGUAAAGGGUGCGUAGGUGGCAUCGUAAGUUGGAUGUGAAAGGCCAGGGCUCAACCUUGGUUGUGCGUUCAAUACUGCGGAGCUAGAGUGCUGUAGAGGGCAGAGGAAUUUCCGGUGUAGCGGUGAAAUGCGUAGAUAUCGGAAGGAACACCAGUGGCGAAGGCGACUGUCUGGGCAGACACUGACACUGAGGCACGAAAGCAUGGGGAGCAAACAGG